GUUGCAAAGCAGCCGCUCGGUGGCCGUACAACGCUUCAUCUCUCCGAGCCUCGGUUUCCUCAUCUCCAGCCCUAAAAUGACGACACGCCCCACAGGUCUUGGGAGGAUUAAGUGAGGGGACAUGAGCCUGGAAGCUCCGACCCCAGGAGCCAGCCCAUCAACCUGAACCAUUACGCCACCAAGAAGAGCGUGGCGGAGAGCAUGCUGGACGUGGCCCUGUUCAUGUCCAACGCCAUGCGGCUGAAGGCGGUGCUGGAGCAGGGACCAUCCUCUCACUACUACACCACCCUGGUCACCCUCAUCAGCCUCUCUCUGCUCCUGCAGGUGGUCAUCGGUGUCCUGCUCGUGGUCAUUGGUGAGGAGCCCAGCCUGCAGUCAGACCUUCUGCCUCGGCACCCGUGGCUGGCAGAAAGGCCCCACGUGUCCCCUGGGCCACCCUGCAUUGGCACAGGCAGCUUUGCAACCACACGCUGACCUGCAGUGAGCCCUCCGCUAACAGAGGCCCAAAGACCAACUUCCACCCCGCGAGGGCAGGCGCCCUGUCCUGUCUCCUGGUAUCCCAUGGAGCAGACCCUCCGCAGUACCUGCUGAAUGACUGCGCCAGCACCUCGCUAACUGCUAACUCACUCACUCGCUCACCGCUUCUCCAUGAGCACUCGUCCCCACGCUUACAGGACCCAGCUUAAGUUCCCAAAUCCUGCACGGCUGAACCUGAAUGAGGUAGAAAAGCAGUGGCGACUCAACCAGCUCAACAACGCAGCCACCAUCUUGGUCUUCUUCACUGUGGUCAUCAAUGUUUUCAUUACAGCCUUCGGGGCACAUAAAACAGGGUUCCUGGCUGCCAGGGCCUCAAGGAAUCCUCUCUGAAUGCAGCCUGGGACCCAGGUUCUGGGCCUGGAACUUCUGCCUCCUUCCUCCGUGAUCUGCCAGGCUCGUGGGCACUUUCCACAGCCCAGGAGAGCUUCUGAAAGGACAGUAUAGCUGCCCUUGCUCCCUACCCACAGCACCUGAGUUAAAAAGUGAUUUUUAUGUUAUUGGUCUAAGGGACUUCCAUCUUGGUCUGAAGUCCUGAGCUCAGACGCAGGUACUGCCAGCCAUACCUUCCUGGUAGCAUCUGCUGGACCUAAGUAAGGCAUGUCUGUCUAAGGCCAAGUCUGCCCGGCUUAAGGAUGCUGGUUCUGACUCUACCCCACUGCUUCCUUCUGCUCCAGGCCUCAAUUUUCCCUUCUUGUAAAAUGGAAUCUAUAUCUAUAAAGGUUUCUUCAAAUCCA
This is an RNA transcript of Homo sapiens (human), 1271 nucleotides long. It is a transcript of the gene named ninjurin 2, with no coding region annotated. The record is from RefSeq and is marked validated. The transcript has 4 exons. NCBI's taxonomy places the organism in Eukaryota, Metazoa, Chordata, Mammalia, Primates, Hominidae.